GACGAACGCUGGCGGCGUGCUUAACACAUGCAAGUCGAACGGAAAGGCCCUGCUUUUGUGGGGUGCUCGAGUGGCGAACGGGUGAGUAACACGUGAGUAACCUGCCCUUGACUUUGGGAUAACUUCAGGAAACUGGGGCUAAUACCGGAUAGGAGCUCCUGCUGCAUGGUGGGGGUUGGAAAGUUUCGGCGGUUGGGGAGGGACUCGCGGCUUAUCAGCGUGUUGGUGGGGUAGUGGCUUACCAAGGCUUUGACGGGUAGCCGGCCUGAGAGGGUGACCGGCCACAUUGGGUCUGAGAUACGGCCCAGACUCCUACGGGAGGCAGGAGUGGGGAAUAUUGCACAAUGGGCGGAAGCCUGAUGCAGCAACGCCGGGUGCGGGAUGACGGCCUUCGGGUGGUAAACCGCUUUCGCCUGUGACGAAGCGUGAGUGACGGUAAUGGGGAAAGAAGCACCGGCUAACUACGU
Molecule: ribosomal RNA, 467 nt
Filed under: uncultured bacterium
Lineage: Bacteria
Description: partial 16S ribosomal RNA
Rfam family: Bacterial small subunit ribosomal RNA
Source: RNAcentral